Molecule: long non-coding RNA, 1958 nt
Organism: Ostrinia nubilalis (European corn borer)
Lineage: Eukaryota; Metazoa; Arthropoda; Insecta; Lepidoptera; Crambidae
Exons: 4
Source: RefSeq, a predicted model, not a curated record
CAAAGUUGGAACAAAACUUGAGUCAAAUACCUACUUAUAUCUAUCUCGCUCUCUGUGGCCCUACCUCUCUUUUUAGUGUGAACUGUAGUAUUGCUAUCUUCUUAUUUAAAUCUCCUUGUAAAUUCUUCGAAAUAGCCAAUUCACUAACCAAAUAAGAAGUUAAACAAAUAAAUAAUUAAUAUUUGAAACUUAGAUUACCUAGUUAAAUAAAAAAUCACAAAAUUGUCGGCCAUUUAGGCUUAAUGUGUUGGCUAAUCAGGGAAUUACAAUCCCAAUUUCUGAGGUAUCGGUAAUGUGGCAACAUCGGCCGAAUCCGGCCCAUCAUGGCGGUUGUUUACUAUGCAGUUGAUUUCGUUUGAGAUUUUUCAAGGGACCUUAUCAUUGUUUUGUCUGAAGAAAUGGUGCAAAAUUGUAUAGUGCGUGGUUGCGGUAGUUCGUGGUGUCCUGGAAGUGAUAUAAAAUUCCACGCAUUUCCUAACAAUAGCACUCGGAGAAAAUUGUGGUUAUCCGUUGUACCAUUGAAAGCGAAGUUUUAUAAUAGUGCAAGGAUUUGCAGUUUGCAUUUUCAAGAAUCAGAUUAUGAUUCAACAACCAGGCGACUAAAACAAACAGCAAUUCCUACUAUAAUAACAAAUCAAGAAACACUAGCACCAGGCAAGACAAUAAGUUCAUUACAUGAUGAGUCUAUGGUGCAAAUAGCUGAUGUGACCGUACCAAGCACUAGUUCCGGCAUUUGUAAAAGCAAUUCUCCACUUAUGGAAACCGGAUAUGACGAGUCUAUGAUGCAAAUAGCUGCUGUGGCUGUAUUACCAAGCACCAGUUCUGGCAUUUGUGAAAGCAAUUCUCCACUUGUGGAAACCGGAUAUGACGAGUCUAUGAUGCAAAUAGCUGCUGUGGCUGUAUUACCAAGCACCAGUUCUGGCAUUUGUGAAAGCAAUUCUCCACUUGUGGAAACCGGAUAUGACGAGUCUAUGAUGCAAAUAGCUGCUGUGGCUGUAUUACCAAGCACCAGUUCUGGCAUUUGUGAAAGCAAUUCUCCACUUGUGGAAACCGGAUAUGACGAGUCUAUGAUGCAAAUAGCUGCUGUGGCUGUAUUACCAAGCACCAGUUCUGGCAUUUGUGAAAGCAAUUCUCCACUUGUGGAAACCGGACAUGACGAGUCUAUGAUGCAAAUAUCUGCUGUGGCUGUAUUACCAAGCACCAGUUCUGGCAUUUGUGAAAGCAAUUCUCCACUUGUGGAAACCGGACAUGACGAGUCUAUGAUGCAAAUAUCUGCUGUGGCUGUACUACCAAGCACCAGUUCUGGAAUUUGUGAAAGGAAUUCUCCACUUAUGGAAACCGGAGUGAAACGUGCUGGCUGCAAUAUUGAGAACCAAACUAGAAAGAAACAAAGUCGAAAAAUUCUUCAAAAUAUAAGCAACCUUAACAAGUCACCUGUCAGCGGUGAAGACCACGUCCCUGUGAAGAGUGACAAGGGCAUCCAAGUAAAAAUAAAGACUGCUCAAGAAAAAAUGCUUCAAAAGAAAACAAAGAUACUAAAGCAAAAAGUGGCGCGACAAACUAAAAAAAUUGUGAAUAUGUCUUCUUUAAUGUCAGCUUUAAAAGAGUAUUUUCGUCAUUCAGAAAUUGAAAAUAUUAUCCAAGGGCGUUUUGCUGAUAUCUUCAAAGAAUUCAAUAAACCACAGAGUAAACAUGGCAUUCGAUAUAGCGAAGAAGUGAAGGCCUUUGCUUUAACUUUGAAUUUCUAUUCACCAAAGGCUUACGAAUUUUUAAGAAAAUAUAUGACUUUACCUCAUGUAGAAACUAUUCGAAGAUCUUUGUCUUUAUUCAAUUGUAAUGUUGGUUUCUUGUCUGAAGUACUUGAAUAUUUAAAAGAACAAGUAAAGUUAUCUGAAAAAAUGUAUUUAAAAAAUGUUGCUUUAAUAUUUGAUGCAAUGGCAUUAAAACAAAAUUUGACA